AUUGAACGCUGGCGGCAUGCCUAAUACAUGCAAGUCGAACGGAAACACGAAGAAGCUUGCUUCUUUGCUGACGAGUGGCGGACGGGUGUGUAAUGUCGGUGAAACUGCUUUAUGGAUGGGGUUAAUUCCUGGAAACGGUAGCUAAUACCGCAUAACUUCGCAAGAGCAAAGAGGGGGACUGUCAGGCCGCUUUCCAGCGGCUUUUCCCAGGUUGGAUUAGCUAGUAGGUGGGGUAACGGCUCACCAAGGCGACGAUCCCUAGCUGGUCUGAGAGGAUGACCAGCCACACUGGAACUGAGACACGGUCCAGACUCCUACGGGAGGCAGCAGUAGGGAAUCUUGCACAAUGGGCGCAAGCCUGAUGGAGCCAUGCCGCGUGUAUGAAGAAGGCCUUCGGAUUGUAAAGUUCUUUCAGCAGGGAGGAAGGAAGUAAAAUUAAAACCUUCGCUCAUUGACGUUACCCGAAGAGAAAGCCCCGGCUAACUACGUG
This 490-nucleotide ribosomal RNA is filed under the name uncultured bacterium. Its description in RNAcentral is "partial 16S ribosomal RNA". It matches the Rfam family "Bacterial small subunit ribosomal RNA", at positions 30 to 507 of the family's 1533-position model. The record is from RNAcentral.